RNAcentral lists this long non-coding RNA (578 nucleotides) under Populus trichocarpa (black cottonwood). RNAcentral's name for it is "long non-coding RNA (PTRI_LNC001473)". Lineage: Eukaryota; Viridiplantae; Streptophyta; Magnoliopsida; Malpighiales; Salicaceae. The record is from RNAcentral.
UUUUGCUGAUUGGGGGUUGUAACUUGGCGAGGUUGGGCUGUAGCCAGGGGAGGUUGGGCUAUAGGCUGGUGAAGUGGGGCUGUAGGAUGGGGAUGUGGGGCUGUAAGAUGGGGAUGUGGGGCUGUAUGAUGGGGAGGUGGGGCUGUAUGAUGGGGAGGUAGGGCUGUACGCAGGUGAUGUUGGACUGUACGCAGGUGAAGUGGGACUGUACGCAGGUGAAGUGGGGCUGUAACUGGGGGAUGUGGGGCUGUAGCUGGGGGAUGUGGGGCUGUAGCUCGGGGAAGUGGGGCUGUAGCUGGGGGAAGUGGGGCUGUAGCUCGGGGAAGUGGGGCUGUAGCUUGGUGAAGUGGGGGAGUAUGAUGGACUUGUAGGAGAAUAGGCAGGACUAGUUGGGCUAUAACUAGGAGAACUGGGACUAUAAGUGGGUGAGGUUGGGCUAUAACUUGGGGAAGCAGGGCUAUAACUUGGUGAGGCGGGGCUGUAUGAAGGUGAAGUAGGACUGUAUCCAGGACUGUAGACUGGAGAUGAUGGGCUGUAGCCAAUAGAUGUUGAAACAGGAGAUGUACUAGGAGAAAAGG